Molecule: ribosomal RNA, 117 nt
Filed under: Danio rerio (zebrafish)
Lineage: Eukaryota; Metazoa; Chordata; Actinopteri; Cypriniformes; Danionidae
Source: RNAcentral
AACCACAGCCAUAUCACCCUGCAGCCCAAGACCGGUUACUCACUGAAGCUAAGCAGGGCUGAGCCUGGUUAGUACCUGGAUGGGAGACCACUAGGGAACACUAGGUUGCUGUUGGAA